GGCUUAACCCUGAGCGUGCUUUCGAUACGGGUUGACUUGAGGAAGGUAGGGGAGAAUGGAAUUCCUGGUGGAGCGGUGGAAUGCGCAGAUAUCAGGAGGAACACCAGUGGCGAAGGCGGUUCUCUGGGCCUUUCCUGACGCUGAGGAGCGAAAGCGUGGGGAGCGAACAGGCUUAGAUACCCUGGUAGUCCACGCUGUAAACGGUGGGUACUAGGUGUGGGGUCCAUUCCACG
Molecule: ribosomal RNA, 233 nt
Filed under: Actinobacillus pleuropneumoniae
Lineage: Bacteria; Pseudomonadati; Pseudomonadota; Gammaproteobacteria; Pasteurellales; Pasteurellaceae
Description: partial 16S ribosomal RNA
Rfam family: Bacterial small subunit ribosomal RNA
Source: RNAcentral